RNAcentral lists this ribosomal RNA (371 nucleotides) under uncultured bacterium. Its description in RNAcentral is "bacterial SSU rRNA". It matches the Rfam family "Bacterial small subunit ribosomal RNA", at positions 523 to 897 of the family's 1533-position model. The record is from RNAcentral.
AUACGUAGGUGGCGAGCGUUGUCCGGAAUGAUUGGGCGUAAAGGGCGCGUAGGCGGAUCACUAAGUCUGUCGUGAAAGAUCAGGGCUCAACCCUGUGCUGCGAUGGAAACUGGUGAUCUUGAGUGCAGGAGAGGGAAGUGGAAUUCCCAGUGUAGCGGUGAAAUGCGUAGAUAUUAGGAGGAACACCAGUGGCGAAGGCGACUUUCUGGACUGUAACUGACGCUGAGGCACGAAAGCGUGGGGAGCGAACAGGAUUAGAUACCCUGGUAGUCCACGCUGUAAACGGUGAAUGCUAGGUGUGGGGUGUCAAAGCUCCGUGCCGCAGUUAACACAAUAAGCAUUCCGCCUGGGGAGUACGGCCGCAAGGUUGA